AAUAAAUUACAUUACUUAAAUAAUGAUUUGUUCAUCUGUAUUGAACAACAUGUUAAUUAUUUGAAGAUAAAUAUUAUUUUUCAUUGUUGCCCUUCAAAUAUCAGUGCAUGUUUUUUUCCUUUGGCUCUUUGUUUCAAUACACGGCCAUUUCUCAAGGUUUCUCGGAAAAUGUACAAAAUAGUCUUAAUUUUUCUCCUCUUCCAAAUAGCAUCGACCUAUGCUAGGGUAAUAUGUGAUAUUGCAUGCGAAGAAAACAAUAACUGCCCAGUUUUAUUAUGUGGCAAUCCUGUAGCACCUGCUUGCGGCUGCUGCCUCAUAUGUCCUGUUGAAGGUAAAUCGUAACAGUCAGUUCAUACAAAACAAUUUUUAUAGCAAGGGAGAAGUGAAACAACGCAAAUGAUCUUCUGAUUACGAAGGCAUUAUGAUUUUGACGUUUAUUAUUGUGACUAAUCAAUAAAGUUUUUAAAAAAAUUA
Long non-coding RNA from Parasteatoda tepidariorum (common house spider), 474 nucleotides. RefSeq lists it as uncharacterized. NCBI's taxonomy places the organism in Eukaryota, Metazoa, Arthropoda, Arachnida, Araneae, Theridiidae. The record is from RefSeq and is a predicted model, not a curated record.